GGGUUCGACCACCAGAGGGCGAUACCACGGCAGGAGCACCUUGAAGUCACCCGUGUCCCCCCUGCCUUUGAUAUUUCUUUUCCGGCGAACGACGGAGUUUGCGCGGAACUGUCGACGGGCGGGGGGGGGGGGGGGAGACGCGGCCCACGGAGGUGUUUGCUUGUCUACGAAAUUGAAGCGAAGUUGCUCUUUUUUUCCCCCCAUUGCGUCUUCCUUCAGCUCCUAAUUUAACGCGGGUUUCCUUGUAACGCUUCAGCGCGUCCCCCUGACGCCGGCAGACUCGGGAGUAGUUCAUCUUUUUUUUUGUUUGUUUACCUUCGACGCGCUCUUGCAAAAUCGUCGGACGAAACGAAAAGCUCGCGAAAGCGGGCGGCGAAUCUUGUUCGUUUCCCUCCCCCACCCCCUCCCACCCUUUUUCCCGUGACGAUCGUAACGUGGCCCCGUCGCUUGGCUCGUGAACGUGUCGCCCAGGUGCCAGCCAAUCGCGGCCGCGCCCGUACGAUCACGUGACUUGGUUAUUACUUGCUGUACGUUUGUUUUCAUAAUUUUUUUUCUGGCGACCAUCUUGCGGGGACUGCGCUGUGAUCGUCGCCACGGCAACGGUUCCACGGUGGGAGAGGAGUGGGGGGGGGGGCGAAUAAAAAAAAUGGAGACAAAAAACCGCGGGGGGGGGGGGGAGGGUGGCUCGCCAAGUCGUGUAGACUUUCACGCUUCAAGAAAAAAGAAUGCACAGAUUCCGUGUUCCUCACGCCUGCCCGCCCACCUACAUAUGUCCGUACGUACGUUGAACUUCUUUUGCACCGUACCUUAGCCAACCGUGGCCAAUCGGAGGUGCGGGGGAAGGACGACAAACUGAACACAACAAACAAGCAGUUCAAAAGAAAUGAGUUUUCAAUCGAGAAGAUGCUCCGGCGGCUUCCUAAUAUCAGAAGGAAACAGCAUUCCAGACGGCCGCAGAAGCGCAUCUGAAAGCGCGCGACGGCGGUGUGACCGUCCGUUGUUUCGAUGGCGAGCCAAAAGCCGCCGCUGCGCGGGUGACCGACGUUCGCGUGAUGAUGGUUUAUGCCCCUUGACGAGAUCGGCAAGGGUGUUGUUAUAUUGUGGUUCAUUUGUGACGAGCACUUUGUGUGUGUGUGUGUGUAAUGGCGAGCGCGAUCUCGCGCGGCUUUUCGCGUCCACCGAACUCGGAAUUGACCUGGCGCGACCGUAAACCUUGAAAGACGCCCGCGUCGCGUGGGAAACCUUUUUUAAAAUUGGCGAAGAAGAAAAAAAAAACGAGGAAAAUCCUCGCCGGAAAAUGGACGAGGCUGGGUUUGGGUUGACGGUGGAUGUUGUUCGGCAUUUUGAAAACCGGCACCGGUUUUUUGGGGUCUUUUUUAGAAAGGGAGGGGGGGGGGGGAGGCGGUGGGGUGGGGGUUCCCAUUAAUGUCGCUUUCUCGCCCGUGCGCGUCGUCGAGGAGAAUGGAAGGUUCACGCUUUUCCCCCGUUUACGAACCGGGGCGAUAUUUCGUAAGUUGAGGGGGGGGGGGGGGGCCCUACCGCCAUCCCCCCCCCCCCCCCCCCAGGGAAAAGCGGACAAACUUUUGUGAAGCCCCCCCCCCCCCCUACCCCCGCGUAUGGUUUCAUUUCGUCUAUCGUUUUGCACGUUUUUUUAGUACAUUAAGCCAUUCCCAAAGCAAAAAAAUAUAUAUAACCUUAAAAGGAAAACAAAACUAUCUGGGAAGUACUGUUAGGAACGGACGAAACAAAAGCGGCGAUGAAGUUCCCACGGAAGGAGGGGGAGAUCGUUUUCACUGCCAAGCGCCCUCGGUUUGGUCGAAGUCCCGGGAUAACUCUCUGCCGUUUCCACCUCCGUCGAUGUCCGUCCCGUGGACGCGCGGCCACCGCGUCGAACCGUCGAUUGCCGACCGAGGGCAACCCGUGGCCUCCAGCCGUGGUCGCGGGCGACGGAACGGACAGAUUGGGGCGGUCGCGGCGGCCCCUGUUCGUCGAGAAUCAGAAUGUUUUUGUAGGCCGGAGGAAUCCGAUGAGAUGUGAAGCAUUUUAUCACAUGCGUCCAGUCGGAUAAGAACGUCACAACAGCAAGACGCAGUACGAAGACACGAUAGGAGCGCAAAGUCUAGGAAAGGUGAACAAAUCUAUCAAGCACAUACAAAUAGGAGUAAACCAUCCCCGUCCUACCAGACAGAAACCACCGAGGUGUAUUCACUUACCGUUCGAAAGCGACCCAGCCACAAAUGACACUCACACACCCACUCACUCACUCAUCCACCCACUCACACACUCACCCACACACUCAUCCACCCACUCACUCAUUCACUCAUCCACCCACUCACACACUUACCCACACAUCCAUCCACUCACCCACUCACACACCACCCACUCAUACACUCACCCACACACUCAUCCACCCACUCACCCACUCACACACCCACUCACUCACCCAGUCGCUCACCCACCCACUCACCUCUCUCUCGUCAUUUGGUUGGCGUGGGGGUUGCAGGUCAGCAGAGUUCGUUGCGUCUCGCGACGUGCGACGAAAAUGACAACCUCCCCCAAAUCAAUGAAGAGCACUGCAACGCUGCGGCUUUAGAGCGCGAUCCGCUCGCUACUCGGAAGGUCACAAGUUCAAAUCCUGGUCGUCGGGGGUCGAUGCAGCCCCAACCCGUCCAUCCCUCCGCCGUCUAAAACGAGUGGGAAGCCAGCAGUCGUGUUACGGACAGACUGGGCCCCCCCGCGCGCCAUGGUGACGUGGAAUUGGCACCACCAUCUCAGAGUCGCCGGCAUGCACGUACGACCGCGCGCACCCGUUGCUGCUUUGGCCGCCGAGUUCCACCGCGGAACGUGUGCGAAAUCGGCGCGGAGCUUCUGGCUCAUGAUUUUGGGCUUGAUGUGGAUGUCGUCGUCGUCAUCAAGCCGGUCGAUUAAUUACGAAAGUAUGUGAGGCCCAUUUUUUUUUACGUGGUCACGGCGGGUCGCUGCAUCGCCCCGAUUGCGAUGGCGUUUUUUUUUUUAAAGCCUUUGCGAUAAACAAAGCCGAUUUUACAGGGGGCCAUGCGUACAAAACAAUUCAAAUGUUGAGGUGUGUUAACUCGAUCGGCGACGGCCAGGAGUGCAUCGUAAACCUUGUGAAGAUGCGUCCGUGCUCAAGCGGCUCUUGUGCGCGCCGUUUAAGAAGAGAAAUAUUGUAUAUUCUCUCUGCAGUCUGGCCCAGCGUCGUAUUGAAGAGGUUUCGAGUUGUUUUUUUUUUGGGGCGGGGGGGCGGAGGGCAAAGUGGAAGGGUGAGAAUGUCAAUUGUGUUUUGUUAUUUUUGUAAUUGCCCAUCGCGUGUCUUUCCCCUUGUUGAUUUUGUCAUAACCGAGAACAUUUCACGGACGACGUGUGCCCGUCGUACGACUGUGGGGGAGGCAUUGAUCACGUGGCCAGCUGCCACCUACUUGAUGUUUCUUUUGUACAGAGAGAUAGUGUCCGAUAUUUUGGUAGAACUGAAACAAACAAAAAAACAGCCACCAUCGCACGCGUCUGAAAUGUGUAGCCGAACGUUUCACGUCAAACCCGCCGUUCGCCACUAGGGGGCGGCGACCACCCCACGGCGCUUGCGCCAGGCUAGGUGCAUAUUGCGGCUGCCCGUCGCAUGAAGUGUCAAAGGUUCGCUGAUAGGAGGUCAUGGGACUGACCCGGGUGCCAUGGGUUGACUCCUGUGCCAGGCUAGGUGCAGGAGGAGGUCAUGGGACUGACCCGGGUGCCAUGGGUUGACUGCUGUGCCAGGCUAAGUGCAGGAGGAGAUCAUAGGACAGACCCAGGUGGUACCAUGGGUUGACUGCUGUGCCAAGCUAGGUGCAGGAGGAGGUCACGGGACUUCCCCGGGUGCCAUGGGUUGACUCCUGUGCCAGGCUAGGUGCAGGAGGAGGUCAUAGCACAGACCCUGGUGCCAUGGGUUGACUCCUGUGCCAGGCUAGGUGCAGGAGGAGGUCAUAGUACAGACCCUGGUGCCAUGGGUUGACUCCUGUGCCAGGCUAGGUGCAGGAGGAGGUCAUGGGACAGACCCGGGUGGUGCCAUGGGUUGACUGCUGUGCCAGGCUAGGUGCAGGAGGAGGUCACGGGACUGACCCGGGUGCCAUGGGUUGACAGCUGUGCCAGGCUAGGUGCAGGAGGAGGUCAUGGGACAGACCCGGGUGGUGCCAUGGGUUGACUGCUGUGCCAGGUUAGGUGCAGGAGAAGGUCACGGGACUGCCCCGGGUGCCAUGGGUUGACUCCUGUGCCAGGCUAGGUGCAGGAGGAGGUCACGGGACUGCCCCGGGUGCCAUGGGUUGACUCCUGUGCCAGGCUAGGUGCAGGAGGAGGCCACGGGACAGACCCGGGUGAUGGCAUGGGUUGACUUGACUGAGAUGAAUGGCAGAUGCACCACCUGCACUCCAUAUUGAGCCAAUAUUACACAGCACACACACACAUAUCUAUAUGGAAUAUACUUAUAAUACAAUAUAUUACCAUUUUGACCUCAUUUAACAAAACUAAACUUUUUUAACUAUUGUGCAUUUUUUGGGGGGUUUUCAAAAGUGGACUGCUUUUGUAAAUGAUUUUAAUCUUACAGCUUCGAAUAAUUUAAACAAAAACACUACGUAAUUCUUUAUUUGCGUGCGUGCGUUCGUUCAAUGCAUUGGUACGGUACAUUUUUGUUUAGUUGCUAUUGGGUUUUUGAAACCGCCAGAGCAUAAAUUUGUUUUUUUUAUUAAAAAAAAUGUGGUAAGGCGCGAUCUGUAAACAGAGUUAUGAAGGUUUAAAAGACGCCAGUGACGUGCGAACUGUGAUUGGCUGCUACUUGACUGCUCUCUCUGGACUGCGGGUAAUGAAUGAUGAAGGCGCAAUCCCUGAAAUAUCUUUGCACAAUCCACUGCUGGUUGAGGGGGGGGGGCCCUCCGCUCGAGAAAUCUUCGGAGAGCCCGGCUCGAGGUGUCAUACGUGGGUUCGAUGUUUCGGAUGCGGCGCCAGUACCCGCACUUAACCCGACCGCACGCGAACCGCCGAUCGAUUGUGGGCAUCGGCGGUUGACAUUUCUCUCGGAGCGUAGUUUCGACUGCCGUGCCGGGAGAUCGAAUCGAGCCCGCGACCUUCCGCGUCAUCGCAAGCGCCGUGGUGCCGCUGACCGCAACGAAUUUACAACCACGGCAGGGUAGUGGACCGGAAAGUUACCGAAAUAAUAAACCUCAUUCGAUACAGUCGUCGCGAACACAUCCCCAUCCACGACCCGUUCAGGCGCUGAUGUUAGCCGUAGCCGGUCGUGCACAAGUAUAACCCGUAAAAACAAAGUUUUUCACUAUAAAUCCUUUAUAUGCGUGGCGGCUAGAGUCCUCUGGCUUGAGAUGGCUGCCACCUAUGGGUCAGAUGAUUGAAUUGCACCAUUAAGCAAUUGGUAAUUAAAUAUAAUAUUUUUGUCCUAAAAAGUGUACAAUUUUGGAAAAAAAAUUUUCACGAACAUUAAUUGUCACGCACAACGAGUCUGUGUGGAAAAUGUCAGCUCCAUUGGAUCACGGGAAGUGGGUUAAAAAACGACUGAAAGAUUUGCACGGUCGUAAGCAAGCAAGCGAACUUAAUAUAAAUGAUUUUAAAAAAAAACACUCAAAUAUUUCGCGGUGGUGUACGGGUUGACGUCCGUUGAACUUCUUUCGCACCGUAUGUAGCCGACCGUGGAUAUCGAAGGUUGUGGUUCAUAGCCGGGGUUGUCUCAAAGAAGGGGCAGGGGGGUGGCAAGAGCGGAGGGAGCCGCCGCGUGUGUGGUAUUCGCACGCGGAUACACCGAUUCACCGAUCCGGCGAACGUUGGAACGGGGGGCGGUGUGGGGUGAUGGGGGAUGCAUUGGUGCGUUUUGUCAAAAUGCGUUUGCAAGUCAGUGGCGGCACUCGCGUGCACCGUUUUUAUUUUUUGCCCCCCCAGGUAACUCCGGGGAACACUCCAGCCCCCAACCGGCCGUUGUCAAUGCUCGGCUCCUCUGACCGUGUGCCGUUCCCACACACAACAACACAACACAUAACACAACACAUAACACAACAACACAACACACGACACAACACAACACAUAAAACAACAUUAUGGCUUGGCUUCGCGAACGAAGAUCUAGGAAGGACAUCCACGUCUUCUGCAGGCACGCUGGUGGCUGAAGAGGCCUAUGCGGGACAAGCAGGUCCUGCCACAACAGCUGCAAGUAUAGGUCUCAUGUGGGAUGGGUACACAUAACACAACAACACACGAACGCGCGGGUGGUGGUAACGUUUUUAUUUGACGGCCACCGCGAUCGGAGAGUCGAGUUUCUCCCACGUCGUAGCGGCGGCAGAUGAUGAUGAUGGCGGUGGGUGGUGGUGGUGGUGUUGCUGUUCACGUUCCCACCCCCCCCCCCCCCCCUGAGGUUGUGGCGCACUCAACGCUUUUUUGUGUUGUUAAAGUUUACCAAAACUGUCACAAGACCCCUGUGCGUGAACACACACACGUAUAAUAUAUAUAUACCGAAUGUAGUGUGUGUUCUCAAAAGCGUAUACGGUAUUUUUUUUUAAAGUUCGGUUCAACUUGCUUGUAACGUUUACCACUUUGCGUAUUUUACAAACGUACCACUUUAAAUAUGCCCUCCCCGCUCCCCCCAAAAAAACUAAUUGAAAACGAAUUCCCAGGUUUUUAAAUAUUUUUCUCCACCCACCAACCGCUUCUUACGGCGUUCAAUCUGGCCAGCCGCCCCCAAACAAACCCGCUCCAUCGGUGUGUCACUCUAGCCUUAGAUAAGUAAUAAUUAUAACCCGUAAAAAUAAAGUUUUUCACUAUAAAUCCUUUAUAUGCGUGGCGGCUAGAGUCCUCUCGUCCUCUGGCUUGAGAUGGCUUCCACCUAUGGGUCUGAUGAUUACCUGCCACCAUUAAGCAAUUGGUAAUUAAAUAUUUUUUAAAAAUUCCCCUAAACAGUGUAAAAUUUUGGAAAAAAUUUUUCACGAAAAUUAAUUGUCACGCACAACGAGUCUGUGUGCAAAAUGUCAGCUCGAUUGGAUCACGGGAAGUGGGUUAAAAAACGACCGAAAGAUUUGCACAGUCGCAAGCAAGCAAACACGCAAGCACGCAAGCAAGCAAGCGAACUUAAUAUAAAGGAUUUAAAAAACAACUCAACUGAAAUCCCUCCAUGUCUAGAUGUGGGCUUCACAUUUACAGGUGAGAACCAGCGGACGGGGAGUGCCGAACGCUCAUGGAGAGUUGAGCCCGUAAUACGCAAACGGGGAGUGGUCAAUAUCAUGGUCAAUAUCAUCUACCCCGAACCUGUGGUGUACAUUUUUUUUUCAACGUCCAUCGUUCUCAAUUUUGUACAUAUGUACAUUUGCGUAUGCAGUACGUGCUUACUACGUGGGGUUUUAAUGAGUCGUUUGUUUUUAUGGUGUGAAUCCUAAUUUCUUUUUUGUGUUAUAUAUUCUAUGUUUCAGAUUAUUUUCUCCCCGCUUUGUAUACAUGAAUUGUCGUCCUCUCCGCGUCUCUCGGUUUUGUUUUUUUCGUAACGAUUGUGUGCGUGUGCCACUCGGGGUGACCUCUGCCCUCCCCGUCCCCUUCGCCGGAAUGAAAGACAAAGGCGAGGGAGAGAAAUUAACCGCGUAUUCAUUCAUUUCAGCAGCGUUGCGUGAGCGUUAUUAUACAGGGUUAGUCACGUACGUUGACAAAGUCAAGAUACACCGACUGUUUUGGCAUCGGGUCGCUUUCACGAUAAUAAUUUAAGCCCUUAAUUUAAAGAAAUGUAUUAUAAUUGUUAUAACCGUGAUAAUUUAAAGAAGCUGUUUUUUUUCUGUAAAAAAAAAAUGAACCCCACUCACAUAAAGUGAGUUAGGACCUUUAGCAUUUUGAGAAAAACAGGUUUCUUACAUUGGCAUGUUUUUUUAAUAUAUCUCGUUUAAGUUCCCUUCUUCGUUCGGAGUUCUCUGGCAGCGUUGCAGCUUUUCAGUUUCCGCUUCUACCGCAGCUGUGCGUGCCGUUAAACUAAAACAAAAUGUUGCUAUCACAAAUGCAAGUCUAAUGAAGUGGCUUAUAUGGAAAUGUAUAGCAGCCAAAUACUCUAAACGCCACGUUGAUUCUACGUGUGGACGGAAAACCAGAGAAAAAUCCACCAUCAUGUGGAGAGAGACGCACAAACCCCAAAUAUGCAGCAGCAGGCGUCAGGGUCGGGAUCGAACCCACAACCUCCUGUACACCAGGCGAGAUAGUUUACAUCUUCUAGCCACCGUGAUGAUGAUGAGAGAGAGACACGCAAACUCCAAAUAUACAGCAGCAGGCGUCAGGGUCGGGAUCGAACCCACGACCUGUAUGCCAGGCGAGAUAGUUUACAUCUUCUAGCCACCGUGAUCAUGAUGAGAGAGAGACACGCAAACUCCAAAUAUACAGCAUUAGGCGUCAGGGUCGGGAUCGAACCCACGACCUCCUGUACACCAGGCGAGAUAGUUUACAUCUCCUAGCCACCGUGAUGAUGAUGAGAGAGACACGCAAACUCCAAAUAUACAACAGCAGGCGACAGGGUCGGGAACGAACCCACGACCUCCUGUACACCAGGCGAGGGAGUUAACAUCUCCUAGCCACCGUGAUGAUGAUGAGAGAGACACGCAAACUCCAAAUAUACAUCAGCAGGCGACAGGGUCGGGAACGAACCUACGACCUCCUGUACACCAGGCGAGAUAGUUAACAUCUUCUAGCCACCGUAUUCGGCGCGGCCAACCAGCCAACACAUUCCACCUUUCUCGUGCUGCUGGCAGCCUCUCCCGCAACAGAAUGAGUGAACGAACGAAACGAAAGCUUCCCGGCACGUGGAUCGCGAAUUCCGGGACAUCGGAGGCCGAAUACCGUGCACGACUGAGGGGGGGGGGGGGUCCCCCGAUUAGCAAAGGGAGCGAUGUGGAUGGGAAGAGCGACUUUGCCCGUGUGCGCAUGCGCGCGAGAGAGAGAUAUGUGUACGCAUGACGAGCACGUGGCAUUUGGGAUUAUUGUUGGCUGCGGUUUUUUUCGAGUUUUGUCUGCCCAUUCAUUCAUUUAUCCAUCCCCCUCUUUGGACAUUUCAUCGCAUAUGCCGGGUCUCGCCACGACGAAACGAACAAUAAGAUUGUGCCGUGGUUGGCGAGCGGUAUAAUAUUGCCAGCGCAGGGAAGUUCGAUUUACGUUCGUUGUUGUAUUUUUGUUUUACUGGGUGAGGAUAAAGCAAGGAGUCUCUUAUAAUUUGCAAGAGUGACCUUGUGCGGCAUUAGCCUGCCAGUAGAGUUGUGGUAGUGGUGGGGUGGGGGGUGGGAGCGCAAUUGCUACCACUGCUGCUCUGUAAACAUCCGAAUUGCCUUUUUUUCCCCUCCCAGAUAAAUUUUCGACUUUUAGGAACAAAAAAUUUGGACCGCUGCCGCCCGACACGCGGCGAGCGUUGGGUGGGGGGCAGGAGGGCCGCCUGCUCUUGCGAACGUCCGAGGGAUCUUUUUUUAACCGCUGCGGUUAUCUCUUAACCGUGGUAAUAACUAGGGUCGGCUGCUGGAUUCGAACCGUGAUCCUGCCCCCGAGAACCCCCUCCACCACCUGCAGGGAGCAAUGAUCGCGCUGCCCGCUGGGCUGUGUCGUAUGGGUGACUGCGUGUGGGGUGUUCUCAUGGUUGACUCUAAACAGACCGGUAAAGUCACGUAUAAAGAGAAAAUAACACAUUAAAUACUAGCAUACGACGUUUCGAUUGCAACACAAUCAAUCGUCAUCAGGUAUAAAUGAAAUAGAAACAAAUCUAGUAUACUUAGAAAUGUAUUGUAAUACAACAGAGAGUCGGAUAACAUAACAGUCAACACCCUACCUGGUUGAUUACGUUCUUCCUGAGAAUGCUAAAUUUGAGAGAGAGAUAAAACACAGAACCAGACACAUUUAGACAGACAUAUAAGUAGAGACAGAUAUCACAGAGAUACAUAGAGAGAGAGAACGUACAUCGGCACACAGAGAAACCACGCCUCUGUGUCGAGGCCUUAAGUAUACUAGAUUUGUGUUUCUAUUUAAUUUAUACCUGAUGAUCAUUGCUUGUGUUGCAAUCGAAACGUCGUAUGCUAGUAUUUCAUUGAUUAUUUUCUCUUUAUACGUGACUUUACCGAAAGAACCAAAGAGUAAUUCCUGCAGUCACGAAAGCUCCACAUUAAGUUCUAAACAGACCGUGUGUGGGGGAGCGGUGGUGCAGCGGUUAGCGCUACGCCGCGCUACGAACCUGGCGACCCGAGUUCGAUUCCCGCUCACGGCCAACACCGGUGACGAUUAUCUGAACCGGUCCUGGGCCUCCCCCUAGAUCAACUCGGGCAUCAGUCGAGCACCUGGUGCCGUGUGUAGUCAACAUCGCCACUUGGGGGGAGACAAAGGCGGCCGGGCGUGUUGCUGCCCCCCCCCCCCCCCAACCUUCCGUGUUGCCGUUCCGGCCUUCACGUCGCUUGCUCGCUUGAACAGCACUUGCCCCUAAUAGCCUGUUAAGGCUAUACGGGGUAGGGGAGGGAUCUUUGUCUUUAUUCGCUCAUUGAUUUUAUCCGGGAAGUCCUUUUCGUCGAGUCGGCAAUGGGUUACUGCGCCCCUACAAUCUCGUGAAUGUCUCCACCCUCCCCACCCCCCCCCCC
Long non-coding RNA from Lethenteron reissneri (Far Eastern brook lamprey), 10616 nucleotides. RefSeq lists it as uncharacterized. The record is from RefSeq and is a predicted model, not a curated record. NCBI's taxonomy places the organism in Eukaryota, Metazoa, Chordata, Hyperoartia, Petromyzontiformes, Petromyzontidae.